Molecule: long non-coding RNA, 770 nt
Organism: Zophobas morio
Lineage: Eukaryota; Metazoa; Arthropoda; Insecta; Coleoptera; Tenebrionidae
Exons: 3
Source: RefSeq, a predicted model, not a curated record
UGUGGAAUGGAUAAAAAAGACAGUAGUAAGCGAAGCGCAAAUUUUUCGAAAGAAGACGAAAGUUUACUUAUCGAUAUAAUAGCAGAAAAUAAAGAUGUCAUAGAGAAUAAGCAAUCUGGGGCUCAGCACUGGAAAGAUAAAGAAAAGGCAUGGGAAAAAGUGACCGAUUUGUUCAAUGCCAAUAGUACUAGUGGAGCCAGAUCUACAAAACCAUUGAGGGACAAAUAUAACAAUUUAAAGAAAAAAACUAAAGAAAAAAAUUCAAAAAUUAUUUUGAGCUUUAGAAAAACUGGUGGAGGAGAUAGCGAAGAAAAAGAGCUGAAUCCAGUAGAAGCAAAAGUUAAACAGUUAAUGGGUGUCCAAGUUGAAGGGCUUCCCAAGUAGUUAUGACUGUGAUAAUGAAAUAGUUCAUAACCCCCCUAGUAUUGAGGAAUAUAUGAUGGCAGAACAUGAACAGAUUUGUCCCAGGACCUUCGGGAAGUAAUCGACAAGAAGGCGUGGAGGAAAUAGAGACCGACUGGACUGCAUAUUGUCCAAAAAAACUCUCUCAACAAACUUCCAAAAAAUUAAGGGGGAAAAGUAGAUUUGGAGUUAACCAAGGAAAAAAGUUUAUUCUAAUCCUGUCAUUGAGGCGAAACUUGAGUUCAUCAAGCUGCAAAAACAAAAGUUUUUGGAAGAACAUCAGUUAAAAAUGGCGAUAUUGAAAACGGAGUUGAGAUUGAAGCAAAAACAAUUGCGUAAUUUUAAACAAUAAAACAAAAGUGGAGUCA